RNAcentral lists this long non-coding RNA (254 nucleotides) under Nicotiana benthamiana. RNAcentral's name for it is "long non-coding RNA (NBEN_LNC020629)". Lineage: Eukaryota; Viridiplantae; Streptophyta; Magnoliopsida; Solanales; Solanaceae. The record is from RNAcentral.
UUUACUCAUAUCUACUCUAUAAAGAGAGUGUUGUCUUGAGUGCUAAGUGUUUGUACACACUUGAAGGGAUAUUCUAAUCCAUUUUGUAAGAAGGAAAAGUAGUUCCUUGGUUUGAAGUCUUGAGGUGCGGUAUCCUCGAGCAGGUUGAAGUCUUGUAGAGUGUAUAUCUACCAGCAAGUGUAACGGUUUGUUAGGCACCCGUAAGCUUAACGAAGUUAGUGUAAAACUCGAGAGAGUCUCUCGGGGACUGGACU